RNAcentral lists this transfer RNA (111 nucleotides) under Muribaculaceae bacterium. Its description in RNAcentral is "tRNA-OTHER". It matches the Rfam family "tRNA". Rfam says of the family: Transfer RNA (tRNA) molecules are approximately 80 nucleotides in length. Lineage: Bacteria; Pseudomonadati; Bacteroidota; Bacteroidia; Bacteroidales; Muribaculaceae. The record is from RNAcentral.
GCCCGUGUAGCUCAGUUGGCAGAGUAACCCCAAUCGCCGAGGUAGUCAUAUAACAAUGCCUCAUAGGAUUGAAAACGGGGUAGGUCGCAGGUUCAAGUCCUGCCGCGGGCG